RNAcentral lists this ribosomal RNA (431 nucleotides) under uncultured bacterium. RNAcentral's name for it is "partial 16S ribosomal RNA". It matches the Rfam family "Bacterial small subunit ribosomal RNA", at positions 29 to 507 of the family's 1533-position model. The record is from RNAcentral.
AACGAACGCUGGCGGCAGGCUUAACACAUGCAAGUCGAACGCCCCGCAAGGGGAGUGGCAGACGGGUGAGUAACGCGUGGGAAUCUACCCAUCCCUACGGAAUAACGCAUGGAAACGUGUGCUAAUACCGUAUACGCCCUACGGGGGAAAGAUUUAUCGGGGAUGGAUGAGCCCGCGUUGGAUUAGCUAGUUGGUGGGGUAAAGGCCUACCAAGGCGACGAUCCAUAGCUGGUCUGAGAGGAUGAUCAGCCACAUUGGGACUGAGACACGGCCCAAACUCCUACGGGAGGCAGCAGUGGGGAAUAUUGGACAAUGGGCGCAAGCCUGAUCCAGCCAUGCCGCGUGAGUGAUGAAGGCCUUAGGUUUGUAAAGCUCUUUCACCGGAGAAGAUAAUGACGGUAUCCGGAGAAGAAGCCCCGGCUAACUUCGUG